This 5123-nucleotide long non-coding RNA is filed under the name Oncorhynchus kisutch (coho salmon). RNAcentral's name for it is "lncRNA (ENSOKIG00005014671.1)". Lineage: Eukaryota; Metazoa; Chordata; Actinopteri; Salmoniformes; Salmonidae. The record is from RNAcentral.
AUGCUGUCAUUACACACUGGUUAUGCUGCCAUUGCACACUGGUUAUGCUGUCAUUACACACUAGUUAUGCUGUUAUGCUGUCAUUACACACUGGUUAUGCUGUUAUGCUGUCAUUACACACUAGUUAUGCUGUCAUUACACACUGGUUAUGCUGUCAUUACACACUGGUUAUGCUGUCAUUGCACACUGGUUAUGCUGUUAUGCUGUCAUUACACACUGGUUAUGCUGUUAUUACACACUGGUUAUGCUGUCAUUACACACUGGUUAUGCUGUCAUUACACACUAGUUAUGCUGUCGUUACACACUGGUUAUGCUGUCAUUACACACUGGUUAUGCUGUCAUUGCACACUAGUUAUGCUGUCGUUACACACUAGUUAUGCUGUCGUUACACACUGGUUAUGCUGUUAUGCUGUCAUUGUACACUGGUUAUGCUGUCAUUACACACUAGUUAUGCUGUCGUUACACACUGGUUAUGCUGUUAUGCUGUCAUUGUACACUGGUUAUGCUGAUAUUGGUAAACAAAGCACUUUCUCCCUCUGUCUCUCUCGCAGGAUAGCGUGUCGUGUGGCCGCCGUAGUGGUGGCUCUACCUCUUCUCUCUCUACCCCCCCCCUCCAUCUCCCACAGCCCCCCCCAGCCGCCUCAGCUCAACGGGGUUGCCAUGGGAACAAUGCUGCUGGGAGGGGGAGCUGGGCUAGGGAUGGGGGGGAUAGUGGGGGUUCUGAACAGAGUCAUACAGACCACUUCCAGCCCUCACACAUACAGCUACACACAUACCUCCUCACCGGGCCCCAGCACCGCUCUGCCCAUCUCCAGCUCCAUCAACACCAGGUUGGGUGCCUUGUCUGAGCAGCAGAGGCUCUUACUGCACCAGAACCAACUACAACAGCUACUGUCUUCACAGCCCUCUGCGGUAAACACACACACACACACACACCAGGGCUCCGUUCUGACACCAUUUAGUCGCACAUUGCGGCCCUUUGACUUGGCUGUGCGAGUUACAUUUUUAAUUGGUUGCAUCAGUGCGAACUGCACAUUCUACAUGGUCACCUCACUCAAAAUGUUUAGGAGGCUAAAACCAUGAUUUUGGUCGAACAGUAAAGUGCUGUCGCUCAGGGGCGGCAGCGUAGCCUAGUGGUUAGAGCAUUGGACUAGUAACCGGAAGGUUGCGAGUUCAAACCCCCGAGCUGACAAGGUACAAAUCUGUCGUUCUGCCCCUGAACAGGCAGUUAACCCACUGUUCCCAGGCCGUCAUUGAAAAUAAGAAUGUGUUCUUAAUUGACUUGCCUGGUUAAAUAAAGGUCAAAUAAAUAAAAAAAUUAUCCUCGUGAUUCCUGUAAUGACAGUGUGUGUCUGCUCCUGUACCCGUUUCUCAGGGGCCUGCUGCUGUGUUGAUCAAACCACUCUCAAAUUCUCUGAGAGAAAACAAAGUGUUCUGAUUUGAAUAACCUUUUAAAAUCCUAUUGCCGGGCAAAACACAGCUGUCUCGUUGUCACACUUGGAGGUUAUCAGCUUUCUUUAGGAACACGUUUUUUAUUUCUCCGCUCUCAGUGUUUUGCAACCAAGAUCUUUGAUAUGGCUUUGAGAUACGCAGGCCUCAUUGGACGGUAGGCUACAACUGCAGCAUUUUUGGGACAUUAAGGCCUGUUUGAAUACAGAGAUGAAAUAACCCUGUAGAUUUGUUGUGGUAAACAAGGAAAUUAAAUACUUUAUUAAAUUCUCUCUCUCUCUCUCUCUCUCUCUCUCUCUCUCUCUCUCUAUCCCCCCCCUCUCUCUCUCUCUCUGCCUCUCUCUCCCCUCCCCUCUCUCUCCCUCCCUCCCCUCCCCCCUCUCUCUCUCUCUCUCUCUCUCUCUCUGUCUCUCUCUCUCUAUCCCCCCCUCUCUCUCUCUCUCUGCCUCUCUCUCCCCUCCCCUCUCUCUCCCUCCCUCCCUCCCCUGCCCUCUUUCUCCCUCCCUCCCCUCCCCUCCCCUCUCUCUCUCUCUCUCUCUCUCUCUCUUUCUAUCCCCCUCUCUCUCUCUCUCUCUCUCUCUCUCCUCUCUCUCCCUCCCUCCCUCCCCUCCCCUCUCUCUCUCUCUCUCUCUCUCUCUCUCUCUACCCCCCCUCUCUCUCCCUCUCCCCCCUCCCUCUCGCUCUCCCCCCUCUCUCUCUCCUCCCUCUCUCUCUCCCCCCUCUCUCUCUCCUCCCUCUCUCUCUCUUUCUCUCCCCCUCCCUCCCUCCCUCUCUCUCCAGGAACAGCAGCAGGUGUUAUUUUACCAGUUGAUGCAGCAACAACAAGACCUCCACCAACUCCAGUCUUCCUCCUCCCAGCUUCCCUCCAUCCCUCUCUCCUCUGCUCAGCUGCCCAUCACCUCCCUUCUUUCCUCCUCCAAUGCCCACGGCACCAUCACCGCCAACCCCUUCCUGGCUCUGCACACACACCCCGACACACACACACACCCCGACACACACACACACGCCGCUGCACAGAAGCCCCGGCUGGCUGAGAAAGCUGUUGGAGUCACUGGACAGGAGAAGACCUGACCCACAAAACAUAUCUCUCUCUUCUCUCUAUCCAUCUCUCUCUCUCUUUCUGUUGGUGAUUCUCUCUACUCUCUAUCCAUCUCUCUAUUCAUCCAUCUCUCUCUCUCUCUCUCUCUCUCUCUCUCUCUCAGGGGUCUCCACCAUCAUGUGAUCAGUGCUGUGUGUUUAACCACACAAGCUCACCCACAUAGAACUACAAACUCCAAAAAACGAUCAGGACACUAACAUAGCUGACUGACUCACAGCUCAGCUGGAGAGAUGCGGUCUGGGAAGUAUGACUCUCAUUGGACAGUUUUAAGAGAGGGAGGAGUUUGUAACUGCUUUUACCUCUCUAUAUCUGUGUGUAUGGACCAGCAUAAGACCUGACCAGAGACCACUCUAAUGUAAGACUGACUGACUGCUCAGCCAUGGAAGCCUUGCUAUGACUGUCUUUCUGCUGUACCUACCUCACACACACACAAACCAGCCGAUUAGUGCCCACAACUCUCAGCAUCGGCCAAUAGGAAUCCACAACAUUCAUGACUGGCCAGUCAGGGUCCAAUCCCCAAGUGCCUAAAGCCGAGGGGGCGGGGUUACUCAUACUCCUCUUCCUGUCUCUCCUGUCAGACAUCCAUUCUCACCAUAUUACUGGCUGUCAAGCUGCGUUGCCCAGGCAACAGGUCACACAACACAUUCUGAGAAGCUGGAAAUUGUAUUGUGCUGCUUUCACAAACUACAGAAACAAACUUUAUAAAUGGUCUCUUUUUAUUUAUUUAGAAGUGCCCGCUGUUCUUUCAAGCGUUUGUUUUAUACUAAUGUUUUAAGUUUUUCUCACUCUUGCUGUAAACAUUUUUGAGGGAAACAAAUAUUUGUUGUGUACUCAGAAAGAUUGAAGUAGUGGUGGUGGUGGAGGUGGUGGUGUAUAUAGCUGCUAUUGUGGGGAGGGGUGUGGAUUCAAUGGCACAGUUUUUACCUCGUUUGUGUAAAUAAAUAUAUAUUUUUCAUUGGCUGUGGGGUGUAAAUAAGUGAUUGUGAUUGGCCCUGCUGGUGUGAAGGAUAGCCAAUGAAACCUCAUUUUGUGUGACUCUUAUGAGCAGACAAUAGGAGACGGUGACUGAACACAAAGUAUUAAUUUAUUUUUAUAUGUGCAGCGACAUUGUUUCGUUGUUUUUCUAAGUUUCACACGGGUUAUUUUAUACUCGGCACCACGUUUCCGUCUGUGUUCACUUUUGUUUGGAUCAGUUUUGUACAACUGAAAAAUCAUAAAACAUCCUCAAGUGUUUCUAUUUCAAGUCACCGAAAUAAAGAAGCGUUCUGGAUAAAGAAAGAGACGGACUGUUGGUGAAAAGACGAGGAGGAGGACUUACAGGAAGCCUGUGUCGGGAUGUCGUCAUGGUUUGGUUUGUGAGAACAUCGGUAAAGCUUGAUUUAACAGCUCUGUUCAAGUGCUUUUUGUAAAAUGCAUUUUAAUGCUUUGGUUGAAUAAAGAACAGAUCUACCUCCCUAAACCUUCUGUCUAAUAACAGGUUUCUCUUUGUUUAACCUCUUUACCCCCCAUCUCUGGAUGGAUGAAGGGAUGACAAACAGACUCUCGCACUCUCUCUCGUUUUCCGUCUUCUGUCUAGUGUUUAGCAGUUUCUGCAUGCCCCUUUAAUAGUGGUCCAGGUUCCCCCUGCCCCAGCAAACACACACACACAAUGUGCACCCCUGUCCCUGAUGACUUCCAGCUGCCUAGCUGUGUGUGUGUGUGUGCGCCAUUCUGCUACAUCUGCUUCUGCUCGGGGAAUUAAAAGCUCACUUUCCCCUCACAUCUCAGCCCCCCAGCAACUCUUCAACCCUCACCCUCUAUCAGCCCUGUCACUCAAGUCCAGGCUGUUUAAACAUGCCCCCUCUCUACCUCCUUGUCCACCACUCUCCUCCCCUCCUCCCCUGUCCUUAUUCAUCGCCCCGUCCUCCUCCUCCUUUCCUCCCUCUCAUUCAAUCCAUUCACAGCAUUCCCAUUCUGGGGUGGGAGCAGAGCCGUCGUCCAUCAUUGAUUACCUCCCAGCAGCCACUGCUUCUCCCCGGGGGAGGGGAGGUUAACAGCUGAGUGAGGACCCCCAUGCUCCCGAAUGAGGUGCCUGAUCAAAAGUCAAAACACUAAGCUGCAGAACAUCAGUCGUUUCACACACAAUUCUCCAUUGAGUUUUCUGCUUCAUCUGGAAGCAGGAAACUGGCCCAAAAUGUCCAGAUGAAGAGAUCAAAAGAAGUCAUAGUAAUAAUAAUUAGACAUGUAUUUAGUAAUUAAUUUAAAAUUGUAUUUAAAUUAAACAUGAAUUUAGUAAUUCAAAUGAAAAAUUACCAUUUAGGAAAACCAUUAGCAGAAAACCAUUAGCAGCUGUAGUUGGGUGUAAAUCAUUAUGGGAAUCGUGAGGGGGUUAAUCCUCUCUCUGUGUGUGUGUGUUGUGAGGGUGAUGAUCCAGGGAAAAUUUACUCCCAGCUGCCUGGCCAAGAUUCCGGUUCAGAAUGGAACCAGAUCGCUCUGACAGAGGUGUUUAGGGCCAGAAACAGAGAGACAGAGGAGAGUAGGGGAGAGACAAAAACAGAGGAGCGAGAGGGAGGAGAUAGCGGGAGACUGAAGUGUU